UACGUAGGGGGCAAGCGUUGUCCGGAAUCAUUGGGCGUAAAGCGCGUGUAGGCGGUUCAGUAAGUCUGCUGUGAAAGUCCAGGGCUCAACCCUGGGAUGCCGGUGGAUACUGCUGGGCUAGAGUACGGAAGAGGCGAGUGGAAUUCCCGGUGUAGCGGUGAGAUGCGCAGAUAUCAGGAGGAACACCUAUUGCGAAGGCAGCUCGCUGGGACGUUACUGACGCUGAGACGCGAAAGCGUGGGGAGCAAACAGG
Molecule: ribosomal RNA, 253 nt
Filed under: uncultured bacterium
Lineage: Bacteria
Description: partial 16S ribosomal RNA
Rfam family: Bacterial small subunit ribosomal RNA
Source: RNAcentral